CCUACGGGAGGCAGCAGUGAGGAAUAUUGGUCAAUGGACGAGAGUCUGAACCAGCCAAGUAGCGUGAAGGAUGACUGCCCUAUGGGUUGUAAACUUCUUUUAUAUGGGAAUAAAAUGUUCCACGUGUGGGAUUUUGUAUGUCCCAUAUGAAUAAGGAUCGGCUAACUCCGUGCCAGCAGCCGCGGUAAUACGGAGGAUCCGAGCGUUAUCCGGAUUUAUUGGGUUUAAAGGGAGCGUAGGUGGGUUGUUAAGUCAGUUGUGAAAGUUUGCGGCUCAACCGUAAAAUUGCAGUUGAGACUGGCAGUCUUGAGUACAGUAGAGGUGGGCGGAAUUCGUGGUGUAGCGGUGAAAUGCUUAGAUAUCACGAAGAACUCCGAUUGCGAAGGCAGUUCACUGGACUGCAACUGACACUGAGGCUCGAAAGUGUGGGUAUCAAACAGGAUUAGAUACCCGGGUAGUC
RNAcentral lists this ribosomal RNA (460 nucleotides) under uncultured bacterium. Its description in RNAcentral is "partial 16S ribosomal RNA". It matches the Rfam family "Bacterial small subunit ribosomal RNA", at positions 338 to 795 of the family's 1533-position model. The record is from RNAcentral.